AGAUUUUCUUGGUGUGGGAAUCUCUUAAUUAUGAGCUUCAACAUAAUUAAUCUUGGUAUCAUCUUCUCAAUUUUCCUCUAUUAUCUAUAUGAAAUUUAGCAAGGAGAGGAGAUGCAGCUAGCUAGGUACAUUUUGUUUUUUCACCCAUGAUUUUAGAACUUUGGUUAUGGCCUUUUGUUUUCUUUUUGUUUUCUUUGUUUUCUCAUUUCCCCCAAAAUUGUCAGAUGAACUCACACGAUAAAAAGAAGUGAUUAUGUAUUAUUUGAUCGCUAGAGGAAGGAGGAUAAUAUA
RNAcentral lists this unclassified non-coding RNA (291 nucleotides) under Hevea brasiliensis (rubber tree). The record is from RNAcentral. Lineage: Eukaryota; Viridiplantae; Streptophyta; Magnoliopsida; Malpighiales; Euphorbiaceae.